This is a long non-coding RNA of Hemicordylus capensis (graceful crag lizard), 1116 nucleotides long. RefSeq lists it as uncharacterized. The record is from RefSeq and is a predicted model, not a curated record. Lineage: Eukaryota; Metazoa; Chordata; Lepidosauria; Squamata; Cordylidae. The transcript has 5 exons.
CAGUUCUGCAUGGAAGCAUCAUUGCAUAAAGGUGGUACGCUGUUCUUUGUUUGUUUAAAGACAAGCAGCAACUGCAGAGUUAUGCUAUGGCUUUUGAAAGUCAUUAAUACUGUGGGCCCCAGAAUUCUGGGGGUCCUUUCGUGAAAGUGAUUGGCAGGACUUGACGAACAGAUCCAAGAAAGCAUUUCUUCACACAGUGCAUAAUUGGUUUACAGAAUUCACUGACAGAGCUUGCCACGCUGGUUACUAGUCUAGAUGGCUUUAAAAGGAAAGACACAUUCAUGGAAAACAGGUCUACUGUAGACAUAUUUCAAAAGUUUACUUAAAAGCCACAAAGAUUUGAACAGAACUAUUUGAUUGAGGAGGAGGGAUCAAUAAAGGACAUUUAAUAUCAUUCAAAUAUUGUAGUCAAGCAGAUGCAAAAAGGUGGAAAAUAUUUCUAUUGGAAUAUUUGGAAAUGUCUGAAGACAACACACCACAUUGUUCCAAUGAUGCCAUCUUGCAGACCUGUGGUAUAAUGAUGUCACCAUACCCGAUUGGCUGAUGCCACAUGAUGUCACAAAGGCAUUGUUACAUAAUGGGAAUGUGCUGUUAGGGAAAGACAAAAAACUCGCACUAACUGUUGCAAUGGGAGGAGUCUUCCAGGACAUCAAGAAAAUCAGGUCCUGACUAUCCCUCUUGGGCUUCACCUCACCGCUCCUGGAAGAAACAGUCCUGGGACUUGGAACCAAGCACUCCUCCACCUCUCAGACAAUUGUGUGUUAUUGCCUGCAGGCCUCCUAAUGCCUUCCUCAGAGUCCUUGACCAGUAAGAAUUCCUCUGCCCCUUCUCCUGUCAGUCUCCGCCAUCGCUUCCCCCUGGCCCUCCUCACCUGUUGGACUGGCUGAAGUCUUCUGGCUACUUUGGACUUGCCAAAAGAGAAAGGGCCCCCAGCAGCCUCCAGAAAGAGGAUCUACAAGCAAGAUUGCAUCUUCAUUGUCUUUUUUCUGCAAAAGAUUCUGUAAAACACUGGACUGUGGCCAAGGGCAAGAGAGACUUCUGCUCAAGUGUGUGUGCCUGAGACAAGUAUAAAACUUGUUUGCUAUGAAGUUAUAGUAGAAAGACUGCUGAUCUCUG